This 483-nucleotide ribosomal RNA is filed under the name Burkholderia sp. RX232. RNAcentral describes it as "bacterial SSU rRNA". It matches the Rfam family "Bacterial small subunit ribosomal RNA", at positions 8 to 487 of the family's 1533-position model. Lineage: Bacteria; Pseudomonadati; Pseudomonadota; Betaproteobacteria; Burkholderiales; Burkholderiaceae. The record is from RNAcentral.
AGAGUUUGAUCCUGGCUCAGAUUGAACGCUGGCGGCAUGCCUUACACAUGCAAGUCGAACGGCAGCACGGGGGCAACCCUGGUGGCGAGUGGCGAACGGGUGAGUAAUACAUCGGAACGUGUCCUGUAGUGGGGGAUAGCCCGGCGAAAGCCGGAUUAAUACCGCAUACGAUCUGUGGAUGAAAGCGGGGGAUCUUAGGACCUCGCGCUACAGGGGCGGCCGAUGGCAGAUUAGCUAGUUGGUGGGGUAAAGGCCUACCAAGGCGACGAUCUGUAGCUGGUCUGAGAGGACGACCAGCCACACUGGGACUGAGACACGGCCCAGACUCCUACGGGAGGCAGCAGUGGGGAAUUUUGGACAAUGGGCGCAAGCCUGAUCCAGCAAUGCCGCGUGUGUGAAGAAGGCCUUCGGGUUGUAAAGCACUUUUGUCCGGAAAGAAAACCUCCGUCCUAAUACGGUGGGGGGAUGACGGACCGGAAGAAU